GACCUGACUCGAACUCUCCCAGAAGCGCAGUUGUGCGGUGCUGGCCUUUGCGGGACCGUGACCGGCUGGACCAGGGCUUCACCACUGGACAUGCACAGCCCACACCCCCGUGGGUCCGCGUGGCCGUCGUGGGCGCAGUGUGUGCGUCCUGUGUGUCUGUUGGCCCAUGCUGUUGCUCCUCCUGCACGGCUCUCCCACCCCAACUCUAAGGGACCACGGGAACAUCUGAAUCUGCCCAGCUCCCACCGUGGCUUCCAGCUGGAAGAAAGAAAGCAGGCCACAUAUGGAGAGUGAAGGUUGGGACAGAACAAUCGCUGUGACUGCGGUGCCUGGCCUGGGCCCCGGCCUGGAGGAGCCACUGCUGCCAUCAGCACAGCCUGCACUUUAUUAGAAUUUAUACGCUGCCCCGAUUGAGGGGGAAAAUAAUUAACACCCCUACAAACAUAUCGUAAACAAAAUAUUUAUUAGAAAUAAAUAACUCAUUUAUUCUA
Molecule: long non-coding RNA, 491 nt
Organism: Chinchilla lanigera (long-tailed chinchilla)
Lineage: Eukaryota; Metazoa; Chordata; Mammalia; Rodentia; Chinchillidae
Exons: 2
Source: RefSeq, a predicted model, not a curated record